UACGUAGGGGGCGAGCGUUAUCCGGAUUCACUGGGUGUAAAGGGAGCGUAGACGGCCAAGCAAGCCAGGGGUGAAAGCCCGGGGCCCAACCCCGGGACUGCCCUUGGAACUGCAUGGCUGGAGUGCGGGAGGGGCAGGCGGAAUUCCUGGUGUAGCGGUGAAAUGCGUAGAUAUCAGGAGGAACACCGGCGGCGAAGGCGGCCCGCUGGAUCGCGACUGACGUUGAGGCUCGAAAGCGUGGGGAGCGAACAGG
Molecule: ribosomal RNA, 253 nt
Filed under: uncultured bacterium
Lineage: Bacteria
Description: partial 16S ribosomal RNA
Rfam family: Bacterial small subunit ribosomal RNA
Source: RNAcentral